This 672-nucleotide ribosomal RNA is filed under the name uncultured beta proteobacterium. RNAcentral describes it as "bacterial SSU rRNA". It matches the Rfam family "Bacterial small subunit ribosomal RNA", at positions 99 to 767 of the family's 1533-position model. The record is from RNAcentral. Lineage: Bacteria; Pseudomonadati; Pseudomonadota; Betaproteobacteria.
CGAACGGGUGAGUAAUACAUCGGAACGUACCCAGAAGUGGGGGAUAACGCAGCGAAAGUUGCGCUAAUACCGCAUACGUUCUACGGAAGAAAGUGGGGGAUCUUCGGACCUCAUGCUUUUGGAGCGGCCGAUGUCUGAUUAGCUAGUUGGUGGGGUAAAGGCACACCAAGGCGACGAUCAGUAGCUGGUCUGAGAGGACGACCAGCCACACUGGAACUGAGACACGGUCCAGACUCCUACGGGAGGCAGCAGUGGGGAAUUUUGGACAAUGGGCGCAAGCCUGAUCCAGCAAUGCCGCGUGAGUGAAGAAGGCCUUCGGGUUGUAAAGCUCUUUUGUCAGGGAAGAAACGGUUCCGGCUAAUAUCCGGGGCUAAUGACGGUACCUGAAGAAUAAGCACCGGCUAACUACGUGCCAGCAGCCGCGGUAAUACGUAGGGUGCAAGCGUUAAUCGGAAUUACUGGGCGUAAAGCGUGCGCAGGCGGUUUUGUAAGUCUGUCGUGAAAGCCCCGGGCUCAACCUGGGAAUUGCGAUGGAGACUGCAAGGCUUGAAUCUGGCAGAGGGGGGUAGAAUUCCACGUGUAGCAGUGAAAUGCGUAGAGAUGUGGAGGAACACCGAUGGCGAAGGCAGCCCCCUGGGUCAAGAUUGACGCUCAUGCACGAAAGCGUGGGGA